Molecule: non-coding RNA, 75 nt
Organism: Streptomyces ambofaciens ATCC 23877
Lineage: Bacteria; Bacillati; Actinomycetota; Actinomycetes; Kitasatosporales; Streptomycetaceae
Source: Rfam
CUUGACCGAUCCCAGCCACAACGGACGGUCCUCAUGCCGGCCCUGUCCGUACGUCGCGAGCAGCGCCUGCGCCUC